Molecule: non-coding RNA, 86 nt
Filed under: Pseudomonas asplenii
Lineage: Bacteria; Pseudomonadati; Pseudomonadota; Gammaproteobacteria; Pseudomonadales; Pseudomonadaceae
Source: RNAcentral
GUUAAUGGCGGCUGUGCGCGGGACAUCUUCGGAUGUGCCGGGUCUUCUAUCCCCGGUCGGCUAACCCUCGCACAGCUGCCACCCUU